UUGUUUACUCAGUGACAUCUCAUUCUUAAAUUUUUCAAGGGGAAAAUAUAAAGGUAGCAAAAUUAUUGUCGUGGCUAAAUAACUCUUAACUGACACAAUUUCAAUUGUCCAACUCAUUAACAGACUUUAUUCCCAUAAUUUUCACUAAAACGUGGUAUUAUUCACGUAAUUUUACAAUUAUGAAAUAUUUACUAAUGUCAAUUUAUUUUUUAGAACCACAGUUCUAUUUUUAGUCCUUUAAAUGAUAUCUAAAUUUGUUUGUUUCGCCUUUUAUUAAAAAAGUUGCUAUGCGUAUAAGCAUAAAUACUACAUACUUGCGCGACGCCUUUUAGUUUUACUGAAAACUGCGCAGACUAAGAAAUGUUUUUACAAGUGCAAAAUGUUCUAUGAUAGAUAUCAUUUUGUCAGACACUUUUCUUUUUUUGAUUUGGUUCUUAUAACAUGCCAAAAAUCUGUAUAUUUAAUAGAGUUUAACAUUAAAUUAAGCGUUUUACUCUUAACAGACGUAUAACCAACCCGAUUAACAGACCAAUCGCCCAUAUAGCCGCA
RNAcentral lists this long non-coding RNA (549 nucleotides) under Mytilus galloprovincialis (Mediterranean mussel). The record is from RNAcentral. Lineage: Eukaryota; Metazoa; Mollusca; Bivalvia; Mytilida; Mytilidae.